This 423-nucleotide ribosomal RNA is filed under the name uncultured bacterium. RNAcentral's name for it is "bacterial SSU rRNA". It matches the Rfam family "Bacterial small subunit ribosomal RNA", at positions 207 to 622 of the family's 1533-position model. The record is from RNAcentral.
AAGACCUUGCACUUUUGGAGCGGCCGAUGUCUGAUUAGCUAGUUGGUGGGGUAAUGGCCUACCAAAGCUCCGAUCAGUAGCUGGUCUGAGAGGACGGCCAGCCACACUGGGACUGAGACACGGCCCAGACUCCUACGGGAGGCAGCAGUGGGGAAUUUUGGACAAUGGGCGCAAGCCUGAUCCAGCCAUGCCGCGUGAGUGAAGAAGGCCUUCGGGUUGUAAAGCUCUUUCAGCCGGGAAGAAAAGGUUGCGACUAAUAAUCGCAAUCCAUGACGGUACCGAAAGAAGAAGCACCGGCUAACUACGUGCCAGCAGCCGCGGUAAUACGUAGGGUGCGAGCGUUAAUCGGAAUUACUGGGCGUAAAGGGUGCGCAGGCGGUUUUGUAAGUCAGAUGUGAAAUCCCCGGGCUUAACCUGGGAACU